AAAAGAGUAGUUUAUUUUAAAAUAUUGAAUUGUAGAUUCAUAGAAAUGUCUUUUG
RNAcentral lists this transfer RNA (55 nucleotides) under Gnathostoma sp. MMS-2017. RNAcentral describes it as "tRNA-Tyr". Lineage: Eukaryota; Metazoa; Nematoda; Chromadorea; Rhabditida; Gnathostomatidae. The record is from RNAcentral.